RNAcentral lists this ribosomal RNA (406 nucleotides) under uncultured microorganism. RNAcentral describes it as "bacterial SSU rRNA". It matches the Rfam family "Bacterial small subunit ribosomal RNA", at positions 509 to 917 of the family's 1533-position model. The record is from RNAcentral.
CAGCCGCCGCGGUAAUACGGAGGAUCCGAGCGUUAUCCGGAUUUAUUGGGUUUAAAGGGUGCGUAGGCGGCACUUUAAGUCAGGGGUGAAAGACGGCAGCUCAACUGUCGCAGUGCCCUUGAUACUGAAGUGCUUGAAUGCGGUUGAAGACGGCGGAAUGAGACAAGUAGCGGUGAAAUGCAUAGAUAUGUCUCAGAACACCGAUUGCGAAGGCAGCUGUCUAAGCCGUUAUUGACGCUGAUGCACGAAAGCGUGGGGAUCGAACAGGAUUAGAUACCCUGGUAGUCCACGCCCUAAACGAUGAUGACUCGAUGUUUGCGAUAUACCGUAAGCGUCCAAGCGAAAGCGUUAAGUCAUCCACCUGGGGAGUACGCCCGCAAGGGUGAAACUUAAAGGAAUUGGCGGG